Non-coding RNA from Pelobates cultripes (western spadefoot toad), 336 nucleotides. NCBI's taxonomy places the organism in Eukaryota, Metazoa, Chordata, Amphibia, Anura, Pelobatidae. The record is from the annotation of a GenBank genome assembly.
CUCUAGCACGGGUGGGGUUGAGAGUGUAAGGAUGGCUAGACAGGUUGUGGUGGUAGGUGACUAUUAUUGAGAGUAGAUGAGGUAAUCUGCCACUCUGAUCGUCUUAACCGGACAGUUUGCUGUCUCCCGGGUGGUUGGGUCCGGCGUGUUGCCGAAUGAGUGGAGGGAUUAUUGGUUGGGGCUGGAGAUAACCCAGCUGUCAUGGUCCAUAUUGGUACCAAUGACAAAGUCAGAGGAAAAUGGAAGGUCCUAAAGAAUGAGUUCAGGGAACUAGGAAGUAAGCUAAAGAAAAGGACCUCCAAGGUAAUUUUUUCAGAAAUAUUACCUGUGCCGCAU